This 468-nucleotide ribosomal RNA is filed under the name uncultured Rhodocyclaceae bacterium. RNAcentral's name for it is "bacterial SSU rRNA". It matches the Rfam family "Bacterial small subunit ribosomal RNA", at positions 337 to 797 of the family's 1533-position model. Lineage: Bacteria; Pseudomonadati; Pseudomonadota; Betaproteobacteria; Rhodocyclales; Rhodocyclaceae. The record is from RNAcentral.
UCCUACGGGGGGCAGCAGUGGGGAAUUUUGGACAAUGGGGGCAACCCUGAUCCAGCCAUGCCGCGUGAGUGAAGAAGGCCUUCGGGUUGUAAAGCUCUUUCAGUCGGGAAGAAACGGAGCGCUCUAACAUAGCGCUCUACUGACGGUACCGACAGAAGAAGCACCGGCUAACUACGUGCCAGCAGCCGCGGUAAUACGUAGGGUGCGAGCGUUAAUCGGAAUUACUGGGCGUAAAGCGUGCGCAGGCGGCGUUGUAAGACAGGUGUGAAAUCCCCGGGCUUAACCUGGGAACUGCGCUUGUGACUGCAAAGCUAGAGUACGGCAGAGGGGGGUGGAAUUCCACGUGUAGCAGUGAAAUGCGUAGAUAUGUGGAGGAACACCGAUGGCGAAGGCAGCCCCCUGGGCCUGUACUGACGCUCAUGCACGAAAGCGUGGGGAGCAAACAGGAUUAGAUACCCCGGUAGUCAU